CGCAAGCCUGACGGAGCAAUACCGCGUGGGGGAGGAAGGUCUUUGGAUUGUAAACCCCUUUUCUCAGGGAAGAAGAACUGACGGUACCUGAGGAAUCAGCCUCGGCUAACUCCGUGCCAGCAGCCGCGGUAAGACGGAGGAGGCAAGCGUUAUCCGGAAUUAUUGGGCGUAAAGCGUCCGCAGGUGGCGAUUCAAGUCUGCUGUCAAAGGUCGGGGCUUAACCCCGGGAAGGCAGUGGAAACUGAAUAGCUAGAGUGCGGUAGGGGCAGAGGGAAUUCCCGGUGUAGCGGUGAAAUGCGUAGAGAUCGGGAAGAACACCAGUGGCGAAAGCGCUCUGCUGGGCCUGCACUGACACUGAGGGACGAAAGCUAGGGGAGCG
RNAcentral lists this ribosomal RNA (379 nucleotides) under cf. Synechococcus sp. Greenland_11. RNAcentral's name for it is "bacterial SSU rRNA". It matches the Rfam family "Bacterial small subunit ribosomal RNA", at positions 376 to 770 of the family's 1533-position model. Lineage: Bacteria; Bacillati; Cyanobacteriota; Cyanophyceae; Synechococcales; Synechococcaceae. The record is from RNAcentral.